AAUUUUCAAAUAGGGACAGAUUUCAUUGCUAACAAUCAGAUCCCUGGUAUUGAUUUUGCCACAGUUCACUCUUAUCCUGAUCAAUGGCUGCCUAAUUCAGACAGACAGAGCCAGGAAUCUUUUUUGAACAGUUGGCUCAGCAAUCACAUCCAGGAUGCACAGAACAUUCUUCGGAAGCCGGUGNNNNNNNNNNNNCGGAAAAUCAUCAAGAACCUCAGAUUAUAACCAAAGAGACCAGCUGUUCAAUACAAUCUA
RNAcentral lists this unclassified non-coding RNA (255 nucleotides) under Hevea brasiliensis (rubber tree). The record is from RNAcentral. Lineage: Eukaryota; Viridiplantae; Streptophyta; Magnoliopsida; Malpighiales; Euphorbiaceae.